This 253-nucleotide ribosomal RNA is filed under the name uncultured bacterium. RNAcentral describes it as "partial 16S ribosomal RNA". It matches the Rfam family "Bacterial small subunit ribosomal RNA", at positions 524 to 776 of the family's 1533-position model. The record is from RNAcentral.
UACAGAGGGUGCGAGCGUUAAUCGGAAUUACUGGGCGUAAAGGGCGCGUAGGCGGUUGAUUAAGUUAGGUGUGAAAUUCCUGGGCUUAACCUGGGGACUGCAUUUGAUACUGAUUGACUAGAGUAUGGUAGAGGGGAGUGGAAUUUCCGGUGUAGCGGUGAAAUGCGUAGAUAUCGGAAGGAACACCAGUGGCGAAGGCGACUCUCUGGGCCAAUACUGACGCUGAGGCGCGAAAGCGUGGGGAUCGAACAGG